CUGAACACACAUUCGACACUAACCAUUUUGUCCCCCCCCCCCAGGUAAAGACGUUCUACUGCAGCGGUCAACGAGACAACAUGAGUGACAAGAAGAAGGAUAAGAGGCCUGACGGCGAAGAAGGCCAAGGCCAGGAGGACUCAGACAGGAUGGGACAAGGACAAGAAGGACAAGGACAAGGAGGAC
This is a long non-coding RNA of Cyclopterus lumpus (lumpfish), 186 nucleotides long. RefSeq lists it as uncharacterized. The transcript is spliced from 4 exons. The record is from RefSeq and is a predicted model, not a curated record. NCBI's taxonomy places the organism in Eukaryota, Metazoa, Chordata, Actinopteri, Perciformes, Cyclopteridae.